RNAcentral lists this ribosomal RNA (1425 nucleotides) under Streptococcus thermophilus. Its description in RNAcentral is "bacterial SSU rRNA". It matches the Rfam family "Bacterial small subunit ribosomal RNA". Lineage: Bacteria; Bacillati; Bacillota; Bacilli; Lactobacillales; Streptococcaceae. The record is from RNAcentral.
GCUGAGAGAGGAGCUUGCUCUUCUUGGAUGAGUUGCGAACGGGUGAGUAACGCGUAGGUAACCUGCCUUGUAGCGGGGGAUAACUAUUGGAAACGAUAGCUAAUACCGCAUAACAAUGGAUGACACAUGUCAUUUAUUUGAAAGGGGCAAUUGUUCCACUACAAGAUGGACCUGCGUUGUAUUAGCUAGUAGGUGAGGUAAUGGCUCACCUAGGCGACGAUACAUAGCCGACCUGAGAGGGUGAUCGGCCACACUGGGACUGAGACACGGCCCAGACUCCUACGGGAGGCAGCAGUAGGGAAUCUUCGGCAAUGGGGGCAACCCUGACCGAGCAACGCCGCGUGAGUGAAGAAGGUUUUCGGAUCGUAAAGCUCUGUUGUAAGUCAAGAACGGGUGUGAGAGUGGAAAGUUCACACUGUGACGGUAGCUUACCAGAAAGGGACGGCUAACUACGUGCCAGCAGCCGCGGUAAUACGUAGGUCCCGAGCGUUGUCCGGAUUUAUUGGGCGUAAAGCGAGCGCAGGCGGUUUGAUAAGUCUGAAGUUAAAGGCUGUGGCUCAACCAUAGUUCGCUUUGGAAACUGUCAAACUUGAGUGCAGAAGGGGAGAGUGGAAUUCCAUGUGUAGCGGUGAAAUGCGUAGAUAUAUGGAGGAACACCCGGUGGCGAAAGCGGCUCUCUGGUCUGUAACUGACGCUGAGGCUCGAAAGCGUGGGGAGCGAACAGGAUUAGAUACCCUGGUAGUCCACGCCGUAAACGAUGAGUGCUAGGUGUUGGAUCCUUUCCGGGAUUCAGUGCCGCAGCUAACGCAUUAAGCACUCCGCCUGGGGAGUACGACCGCAAGGUUGAAACUCAAAGGAAUUGACGGGGGCCCGCACAAGCGGUGGAGCAUGUGGUUUAAUUCGAAGCAACGCGAAGAACCUUACCAGGUCUUGACAUCCCGAUGCUAUUUCUAGAGAUAGAAAGUUACUUCGGUACAUCGGUGACAGGUGGUGCAUGGUUGUCGUCAGCUCGUGUCGUGAGAUGUUGGGUUAAGUCCCGCAACGAGCGCAACCCCUAUUGUUAGUUGCCAUCAUUCAGUUGGGCACUCUAGCGAGACUGCCGGUAAUAAACCGGAGGAAGGUGGGGAUGACGUCAAAUCAUCAUGCCCCUUAUGACCUGGGCUACACACGUGCUACAAUGGUUGGUACAACGAGUUGCGAGUCGGUGACGGCGAGCUAAUCUCUUAAAGCCAAUCUCAGUUCGGAUUGUAGGCUGCAACUCGCCUACAUGAAGUCGGAAUCGCUAGUAAUCGCGGAUCAGCACGCCGCGGUGAAUACGUUCCCGGGCCUUGUACACACCGCCCGUCACACCACGAGAGUUUGUAACACCCGAAGUCGGUGAGGUAACCUUUUGGAGCCAGCCGCCUAAGGUGGGACAGAUGAUGG